UACGUAGGGGGCUAGCGUUGUCCGGAAUUAUUGGGCGUAAAGAGCGUGUAGGCGGUUCGAUAAGUCUGCUGUGAAAGUCAGGGGCUCAACCCUUGAAAGCCGGUGGAUACUGUCGGACUAGAGUACGGAAGAGGCGAGUGGAAUUCCUGGUGUAGCGGUGAAAUGCGCAGAUAUCAGGAGGAACACCAAUUGCGAAGGCAGCUCGCUGGGACGUUACUGACGCUGAGACGCGAAAGCGUGGGGAGCAAACAGG
This 253-nucleotide ribosomal RNA is filed under the name uncultured bacterium. RNAcentral's name for it is "partial 16S ribosomal RNA". It matches the Rfam family "Bacterial small subunit ribosomal RNA", at positions 524 to 776 of the family's 1533-position model. The record is from RNAcentral.